Macaca mulatta (Rhesus monkey) is the source of this 148-nucleotide unclassified non-coding RNA. It matches the Rfam family "Metazoan signal recognition particle RNA". Rfam says of the family: The signal recognition particle (SRP) is a universally conserved ribonucleoprotein. The record is from Ensembl. NCBI's taxonomy places the organism in Eukaryota, Metazoa, Chordata, Mammalia, Primates, Cercopithecidae.
GCCGGGUAUGGUGGUGCAUGCCUGUAAUCCCAGCUACUCAGGAGGCUGAGGCAGGAGAAUCACUUGAACUUAGGAGGCAGAGGUUGCAGUGAGCUGAGAUCGUGCCACUGCACUCCAGCCUGGGGGACAGAGUGAGACUCUGUCUCAA